UGAGGAGCGUGAGGCCACUUGGGAGUUGGAGUCCUCCAUGCGGGAGCGUUAUCCGCAUUUGUUUACGGGGGAUGUUUAAUUUAAGUUUCGGGGACGAAACUUUUUGUAAGGGGGGAAUGAUGUAAUAACUGAGAUUUUUCAUUUAUUGAUUAAACCCUUUAGUUUGACGAUGUUCUUGUGUGUAAUAUAUUUAUAAGUGUACUCGUCAAAUUUCAGGAGAAAACGAGUUAAAACGGAGAAGUUACGCGACCCGGAAGUUCGACUUAAGUGAAUAGUAACUCCGAUUUUCCGGAGAGGCCGCGGAGUAGAGUGGACUUUCGACGCGUAUCGGACUCCGAAU
This 340-nucleotide long non-coding RNA is filed under the name Ananas comosus (pineapple). RNAcentral describes it as "long non-coding RNA (ACOM_LNC032491)". Lineage: Eukaryota; Viridiplantae; Streptophyta; Magnoliopsida; Poales; Bromeliaceae. The record is from RNAcentral.